RNAcentral lists this ribosomal RNA (306 nucleotides) under uncultured bacterium. RNAcentral's name for it is "partial 16S ribosomal RNA". It matches the Rfam family "Bacterial small subunit ribosomal RNA", at positions 507 to 807 of the family's 1533-position model. The record is from RNAcentral.
GACAGCAGCAGCCGCGGUAAUGCGGAGGGGGCUAGCGUUGUUCGGAAUUACUGGGCGUAAAGCGCACGUAGGCGGCUUGGUAAGUUAGAGGUGAAAGCCCGGAGCUCAACUCCGGAAUUGCCUUUAAGACUGCCGAGCUAGUAGGUGAGAGAGGUAAGUGGAAUUCCGAGUGUAGAGGUGAAAUUCGUAGAUAUUGGGAAGAACACCAGUGGCGAAGGCGGCUCACUGGACCGACACUGACGCUGAGGCGCGAAAGCGUGGGGAGCAAACAGGACUAGAUACCCCGGUAGUCCCUGUCUCUUAUAC